Molecule: long non-coding RNA, 226 nt
Filed under: Sorghum bicolor (sorghum)
Lineage: Eukaryota; Viridiplantae; Streptophyta; Magnoliopsida; Poales; Poaceae
Description: long non-coding RNA (SBIC_LNC015758)
Source: RNAcentral
GCUCCAUGAGUUUUGUUGUCUAUUUGGGUUGUGCAGGAUUUUGAAGCAUAAGAGGAGUGAGACCGAACAUGCAGGCCACAAGAGUGAAUGACUAUGUCAACAUCCAGGUUGGGGGAGGUGUUGAUAUUUGGGAACGCAAUAAGGAAUUGAUCCGCAAGCGCACGGAUAUCGGUGAGCACGUCACCCGGGAGGUUAUCCAGAGUAUCGUAUUUAUUUUUUUGCCACU